RNAcentral lists this ribosomal RNA (563 nucleotides) under Nannobrachium atrum. RNAcentral describes it as "partial 16S ribosomal RNA". It matches the Rfam family "Bacterial large subunit ribosomal RNA", at positions 1840 to 2601 of the family's 2925-position model. Lineage: Eukaryota; Metazoa; Chordata; Actinopteri; Myctophiformes; Myctophidae. The record is from RNAcentral.
AACGAAUAAGAGGUCCCGCCUGCCCUGUGACUAUAUGUUUAACGGCCGCGGUAUUUUGACCGUGCGAAGGUAGCGCAAUCACUUGUCUUUUAAAUGGAGACCUGUAUGAAAGGCACCACGAGGGCUUAGCUGUCUCCCCUUUAAAGUCAAUGAAAUUGAUCUCCCCGUGCAGAAGCGGGGAUAUACUCGUAAGACGAGAAGACCCUAUGGAGCUUAAGAUACAAGGCGAGUCGUGUCAAACACCCCCUUAAAGGAAAUGAACGAAGUGAACUCCGCUGGAAUGUCUUCGGUUGGGGCGACCGCGGGGAAAGACAAAACCCCCACAUGGACCAGGGCCACUAUAGCCCUAAAACCCAGACCCACAGGUCGAAUCAACAGUAAAUCUGACCACCAAAGAGCCGGCAAUGCCGAUCGACGGACCAAGUUACCCUAGGGAUAACAGCGCAAUCCCCUCCCAGAGCCCUUAUCGACGAGGGGGUUUACGACCUCGAUGUUGGAUCAGGACAUCCUAAUGGUGCAGCCGCUAUUAAGGGUUCGUUUGUUCAACGAUUAAAGUCCUACGU